This 1694-nucleotide unclassified non-coding RNA is filed under the name Leishmania donovani. RNAcentral describes it as "gene:LdHU3.23.0870(CDS-product:oxidoreductase-lik e_protein)". The record is from RNAcentral. Lineage: Eukaryota; Euglenozoa; Kinetoplastea; Trypanosomatida; Trypanosomatidae.
AGUCUGUCAUCUCGGUGCCGGUCAUCGAGCAAGUAAACCACCAAAAAAUUCCUCCAUGCAAGCAUACAUGCGAACACAGUCCGGAAAUCAUGUCCUCAGAUACCAUCCGAGUUGGGUUCCUCGGAGCCUCAACGAUCGCGCACAAGGUGUGGGCGGCCAUCGAAGCGGCUGGAAACAUGCAGGUCACACUCGUAGGCAGUCGAUCCGUGAAGGUGGCGCAGAAAUUCAUUGAUGAGUGCACCGAGAGCCUUCAUAUCAGCGAAGAACGCAAGGCUGCAGCGGCCACCUACGACGAGGUUGUCGGUAGCUCUAACGUUGACGUUGUGUACAUGUCCAUUCCUGUCACCACCAGGCACGAGUGGGUGAUGAAGUGCGCUGAGAACAAUAAGCACGUUGUUGGCGAGAAGCCCCCAGCUUCUACGCCGGCGCAGCUGCAGUCGUGGAUUGAAGCACUCAGCGCGAAGGGCCUGCUAUACAUGGAUGGAACGAUGUUCUCUCACGGACCGUACGUUAAGAAAGUGGUCGAGCUCCUCCCCGAGAUCGGCGACAUUCGUCGCAUGACGUUUAUCUUUUCUUUUCGCGCCUCGCCGGAGAGGCUGCAGAGUGAUAUCCGCUGCAACCCAAAUCUAGAGCCGCUCGGCGCGCUCGGUGACAUUGGCUGGUAUGGCAUCCGCUCCUUUCUACACAUGGUCGACUUUACCAUGCCCACCACUGUUGCCGGUCGUAUUCUCGAGGAACUGCCGAACGGUGCUGUUACCUCCUUCAAAGGAGAGCUCACUUUCCCUGGUGCCACGCCGGACACAAGCAUCUACGCAUACUUCUACUGCAGCUUCUUGAGCUCACUCCAGCAAAGCUUUAUUGUUUCGGGGACGAAAGGACGCAUUGUUGCCGAGCAGCUGACGAGCCCGCUCACUGAUGCCGGAGCGGCGUGCUUUAAGAUUGUGAAGCCCACGUUUUCCGGACCUGAUCCAAGUACGGACGUCACCGUUGAGCAAACCGUGACAAAUGUCCAGGUUCCCGAGGAAACAGGACAUAUGCAGGAGACGCAGAUGUGGCGUGAUGUUCGCGACUGUCUCAAGAAGGACGAAAGCGGCCGGCUGAUUGCCGAAGAGGAUGCCGUGCGCGAGUGGGCCCGCAAGUCAUGGAUGACGCACUGCAUCGCGGCCAAAUUGAUGGAGUCCGCACGCUCGUAGCUGCAUCAGCUCUGUUGCCCUUGUGUGGCAAUAUGAGAAAUGUGGUCAUGCUGCGUGGCUUGACAGUGUUUUACAGCAGGCAGAGCGGUGCUUUCUGGGCACUCCUCACCCCUCGUUGAAAAUAUUCGGCGCUGUACACGCGCACAUCGGCACUGAAGGUAUCGUAUAUGUUUGUUUCUCAAGUGUCUCUCGAGUGAAUUUCACGAAAAACGCUCAUGAAAAGCGUAUACGAGCCUACUGCUCUUUACUUCUUCGGUACUUUGGUUUAGCACCUACUGAACUACCCCUUAUGAAUCUUUCCUUGUCUCAUUGCUUUCUCUCUCAGCUGUUAUUCCCAUCACGUGUAUUGUAGAACCUCAGUGCUACAGAAAAAAAAAAGACAUGAAAAGGAAAAGAGCUGUACCAGUAUUUCCCUGAGUAGGAUCGUCGUGCGCAAUGCUCUCUGCAGUCACUGAUUCACGAAUCCGACUUUACCCAACCCUGCCACGUGCACUGAGUAGA